This 278-nucleotide long non-coding RNA is filed under the name Gossypium raimondii (Peruvian cotton). Its description in RNAcentral is "long non-coding RNA (GRAI_LNC007191)". The record is from RNAcentral. Lineage: Eukaryota; Viridiplantae; Streptophyta; Magnoliopsida; Malvales; Malvaceae.
UAAUUAACUAAUCAAUUGACUUAUCUCCUGGCCUCGUCUAGCUUGUGAUAACUUCCUAGGAUUGUCAUCUUAAUGGUUUAAGCACACAUAAUCUAUACUAACUAACCCUCUUGAGAAAACCUUAAACCCUAAUAGAUUAAGUGGCAUCUUUAUAUUGACAAAUCUCACAUAUGUGCUAGAAUAUGACUAAAAUUUAAAAGUAAAAUAAAAUCACACCGAAUUUAAAAAAAAAAAGAGAGAUAAACUUGACAAAACAAAGACUAAAAAAAAAUACAGAC